AGGAGGAGUCCCUCAGGGUCCCUCUCAGCAACGCCAUACUGUCCAUAUUCUCCACUAUAAUUGCACCAACACUGCACACCCAUCUCCCACGUGUAUAAACUAGUGCACAAGAUCCUACAGAGUAGAAUGUCUGGGUCAAGAUGAAUGGUUAUUUUUUUAUGGAUUUGCCAAGUUCACACCAGAAAAUCAGAGGGCUUAGCCAUAUUCCAUCAAAGUGCGAGAACACUCGGCCAACAUGCCCCAAAUAACCCAUACUGGCUUUGAAAAAUUCAUAAUUCUGAUUCUGCUUUGUACAGUUACG
This is a long non-coding RNA of Microtus oregoni (creeping vole), 301 nucleotides long. RefSeq lists it as uncharacterized. Lineage: Eukaryota; Metazoa; Chordata; Mammalia; Rodentia; Cricetidae. The record is from RefSeq and is a predicted model, not a curated record. The transcript is spliced from 3 exons.